GACGGACGCUGGCGGCGUGCUUAACACAUGCAAGUCGAACGGAAAGGCCCCGUUUUUUUGGGUUGCUCUGGUGGCGAAGGGAUCGGUAACGUGAGAGUAACCUGCCCUGGACUUUGGGAUAACUUCAGGAAAUGGGGGUUAAUACAGGACAGGAGCUCCUGCUGCAUGGGGGGGGUGGGAAAGUUUCGGCGGUUGGGGAUGGACUGGCGGCUUAUCAGCUUGUUGGUGGGGUAGUGGCUUACCAGGGCUUUGACGGGUGGCCGGCCUGAGAGGGUGACCGGCCAGAUUGGGACUGAGAUGCGGCCCAGACUCCUACGGGAGGCAGCAGUGGGGAAUAGUGCACAGUGGGCGGAAGCCUGAUGCAGCAACGCCGCGUGCGGGAUGACGGCCUUCGGGUUGUAAACCGCUUUCGCCUGGGACGAAGCGUGAGUGACGGUAAUGGGUAAAGAAGCACCGGCUAACUACGUG
RNAcentral lists this ribosomal RNA (468 nucleotides) under uncultured bacterium. RNAcentral describes it as "partial 16S ribosomal RNA". It matches the Rfam family "Bacterial small subunit ribosomal RNA", at positions 28 to 507 of the family's 1533-position model. The record is from RNAcentral.